Molecule: ribosomal RNA, 253 nt
Filed under: uncultured bacterium
Lineage: Bacteria
Description: partial 16S ribosomal RNA
Rfam family: Bacterial small subunit ribosomal RNA
Source: RNAcentral
UACAGAGUGUGCGAGCGUUAAUCGGAAUUACUGGGCGUAAAGCGCACGUAGUCGGCUUUGCAAGUCGGUUGUGAAAUCCCCGGGCUCAACCUGGGAACUGCAUCCGAGACUGCAUUGCUAGAGUAUGGGAGAGGAAAGCGGAAUUUCUGGUGUAGCAGUGAAAUGCGUAGAUAUCAGAAGGAACAUCAGUGGCGAAGGCGGCUUUCUGGACCAAUACUGACGAUCAGGUGCGAAAGCGUGGGGAGCAAACAGG